Molecule: ribosomal RNA, 373 nt
Filed under: uncultured organism
Description: partial 16S ribosomal RNA
Rfam family: Bacterial small subunit ribosomal RNA
Source: RNAcentral
GUAGGUGGCAAGCGUUGUCCGGAAUUAUUGGGCGUAAAGCGCGCGCAGGCGGUUCUUUAAGUCUGAUGUGAAAGCCCACGGCUCAACCGUGGAGGGUCAUUGGAAACUGGAGAACUUGAGUACAGAAGAGGAAAGCGGAGUUCCACGUGUAGCGGUGAAAUGCGUAGAGAUGUGGAGGAACACCAGUGGCGAAGGCGGCUUUCUGGUCUGUAACUGACGCUGAGGCGCGAAAGCGUGGGGAGCAAACAGGAUUAGAUACCCUGGUAGUCCACGCCGUAAACGAUGAGUGCUAAGUGUUAGGGGGUUUCCGCCCCCCUUAGUGCUGCAGCUAACGCAUUAAGCACUCCGCCUGGGAGUACGGCCGCAAGGCUGA